This 468-nucleotide ribosomal RNA is filed under the name uncultured bacterium. RNAcentral describes it as "partial 16S ribosomal RNA". It matches the Rfam family "Bacterial small subunit ribosomal RNA", at positions 28 to 507 of the family's 1533-position model. The record is from RNAcentral.
GACGAACGCUGGCGGCGUGCUUAACACAUGCAAGUCGAACGGAAAGGCCCUGCUUUUGUGGGGUGCUCGAGUGGCGAACGGGUGAGUAACACGUGAGUAACCUGCCCUUGACUUUGGGAUAACUUCAGGAAACUGGGGCUAAUACCGGAUAGGAGCUCCUGCUGCAUGGUGGGGGUUGGAAAGUUUCGGCGGUUGGGGAUGGACUCGCGGCUUAUCAGCUUGUUGGUGGGGUAGUGGCUUACCAAGGCUUUGACGGGUAGCCGGCCUGAGAGGGUGACCGGCCACAUUGGGUCUGAGAUACGGCCCAGACUCCUACUGGAGGCAGCAGUGGGGAAUAUUGCACAAUGGGCGGAAGCCUGAUGCAGCAACGCCGCGUGCGGGAUGACGGCCUUCGGGUUGUAAACCGCUUUCGCCUGUGACGAAGCGUGAGUGACGGUAAUGGGUAAAGAAGCACCGGCUAACUACGUG